Molecule: ribosomal RNA, 462 nt
Filed under: uncultured bacterium
Lineage: Bacteria
Description: bacterial SSU rRNA
Rfam family: Bacterial small subunit ribosomal RNA
Source: RNAcentral
AGCGAACGCUAGCGGAUGGCUUAACACAUGCAAGUCGAGCGGGCAGCUUCGGCUGUCUAGCGGCGAACGGGUGCGUAACACGUGGGUAAUCUGCCUUCUGGUGGGGGAUAACCCGACGAAAGUCGGGCUAAUACCGCAUAUGGCCUACGGGUCAAAGCAGCAAUGCGCCAGUUGAUGAGCCCGCGGCCCAUUAUUUAAUCCUAGUUGGCGGGGUAACGGCCCACCAAGGGUACGAUGGGUUGCUGGUCUGAGAGGACGAUCAGCCACACUGGGACUGAGACACGGCCCAGACUCCUACGGGAGGCAGCAGUGGGGAAUAUUGCGCAAUGGGCGAAAGCCUGACGCAGCCACGCCGCGUGAGCGAUGAAGGCCUUGGUCGUAAAGCUCUGUGGGGGAGGAAGAAAAGACCGGUGAAGAGCCGGACCUGACGGUAUCCCUUAGCAAGCACCGGCUAACUCCGUG